UAUGAACAGUUAAUUUAUUUGAAUUGUGAUAUUGUUUUCCUUCUUCUUUGAAAUCUUCACAGAACCAGAAUUUUGCCAAAGAUAUACAUACGGAGUGCGAGCCACUGUUCAGUGCAUUCCUGCUUGGCUUUAUUUCAUUCAGUGCCUGUGCUGGUACUGUGACACAAGAAGAGCCUUUUCUCAUCCAGUAAAUGCUGCCUGGCAAAUACUCUACGACUUUCUUCAUCGUGACAUUUCCAGCCCUUUACAGCACCCACAAAGAACGAAGUCACUCUGACACCAUGGUGUUCUUUUACCUGUGGUCAUCUUUUGCAUCAUUAGCUACUGCUAUAUUUUCAUCUGGGAUCUCAAGAUGGACUGGGGUUUCUUUGAUAAGAAUGCAGGAGAUAACAAUUUCCUCUGUCAAGAAAUUUUAUACCCC
RNAcentral lists this long non-coding RNA (421 nucleotides) under Rattus norvegicus (Norway rat). Its description in RNAcentral is "long non-coding RNA NONRATT033859". Lineage: Eukaryota; Metazoa; Chordata; Mammalia; Rodentia; Muridae. The record is from RNAcentral.